RNAcentral lists this transfer RNA (70 nucleotides) under Coleoptera sp. 1 KM-2017. Its description in RNAcentral is "tRNA-Ser". It matches the Rfam family "tRNA". Rfam says of the family: Transfer RNA (tRNA) molecules are approximately 80 nucleotides in length. Lineage: Eukaryota; Metazoa; Arthropoda; Insecta; Coleoptera. The record is from RNAcentral.
AGUUAAAUAGCUUAAAGUAAAGCAUAUAUUUUGAAAAUAUAACAAAAAGGUUGAAUUCCUUUAUUAACUU